This 253-nucleotide ribosomal RNA is filed under the name uncultured bacterium. Its description in RNAcentral is "partial 16S ribosomal RNA". It matches the Rfam family "Bacterial small subunit ribosomal RNA", at positions 524 to 776 of the family's 1533-position model. The record is from RNAcentral.
UACAGAGGUCUCAAGCGUUGUUCGGAUUCAUUGGGCGUAAAGGGUGCGUAGGCGGCGCGGUAAGUCGGGUGUGAAAUCUCGGAGCUUAACUCCGAAACUGCAUUCGAUACUGCCGUGCUUGAGGACUGGAGAGGAGACUGGAAUUUACGGUGUAGCGGUGAAAUGCGUAGAUAUCGUAAGGAAGACCAGUGGCGAAGGCGACUACCUGGCCUGUUCUUGACGCUGAGGCGCGAAAGCUGGGGGAGCAAACGGG